GAUGAACGCUGGCGGCGUGCCUAAUACAUGCAAGUCGAGCGAACGGACGAGAAGCUUGCUUCUCUGAUGUUAGCGGCGGACGGGUGAGUAACACGUGGAUAACCUACCUAUAAGACUGGGAUAACUUCGGGAAACCGGAGCUAAUACCGGAUAAUAUUUUGAACCGCAUGGUUCAAAAGUGAAAGACGGUCUUGCUGUCACUUAUAGAUGGAUCCGCGCUGCAUUAGCUAGUUGGUAAGGUAACGGCUUACCAAGGCAACGAUGCAUAGCCGACCUGAGAUGGUGAUCAGCCACACUGGAACUGAGACACGGUCCAGACUCCUACGGGAGGCAGCAGUAGGGAAUCUUCCGCAAUGGGCGAAAGCCUGACGGAGCAACGCCGCGUGAGUGAUGAAGGUCUUCGGAUCGUAAAACUCUGUUAUUAGGGAAGAACAUAUGUGUAAGUAACUGUGCACAUCUUGACGGUACCUAAUCAGAAAGCCACGGCUAACUACGUG
RNAcentral lists this ribosomal RNA (497 nucleotides) under uncultured bacterium. RNAcentral describes it as "partial 16S ribosomal RNA". It matches the Rfam family "Bacterial small subunit ribosomal RNA", at positions 28 to 507 of the family's 1533-position model. The record is from RNAcentral.